RNAcentral lists this ribosomal RNA (506 nucleotides) under uncultured bacterium. RNAcentral describes it as "partial 16S ribosomal RNA". It matches the Rfam family "Bacterial small subunit ribosomal RNA", at positions 29 to 523 of the family's 1533-position model. The record is from RNAcentral.
AGUGAACGCUGGCGGUAGGCCUAACACAUGCAAGUCGAACGGCAGCACAGGAGAGCUUGCUCUCUGGGUGGCGAGUGGCGGACGGGUGAGGAAUACAUCGGAAUCUACUUUUUCGUGGGGGAUAACGUCGGGGAACUUACGCUAAUACCGCAUACGACCUACGGGUGAAAGCAGGGGACCUUCGGGCCUUGCGCGCUGGAAUGAGCCGAUGUCGGAUUAGCUAUGUGGCGGGGUAAAGGCCCAACAAGGCGACGAUCCGUGGCUGGUCUGAGAGGAGGAUCAGCGACACUGGAACUGAGACACGUUCCAGACUCCUACGGGAGGCAGCAGUAGGGAAUAUUGGACAAUGGGCGCAAGCCUGAUCCAGCCAUACCGCGUGGGGGAAGAAGGACUUCGGGUUGUAAAGCCCUUUUGUUGGGAAAGAAAUCCAGCCGGCUAAUACCUGGUUGGGAUGACGGUACCCAAAGAAUAAGCACCGGCUAACUUCGUGCCAGCCGCCGCGGUAA